AAAUGCCAGUUGAUUCAAAUAAACCUCAGCCUCUCCUGAGAAUUCUCUUAUGCCCUAGUGUGUCAGAUUAGUCCACCUUGCAGCACCUGAGACUGAAGCUCCUCCCAAGACAGAGGCGCAUGUUUCCUUCCGAACUCUGCUUUCACAUGGAAGAUUGGCUUUAAGAUGAAGGCCUGCAUUUGCAAACAGAAACUAUAGCAGACACAUAAAAUCCAUUGUAUUUUCAGGCAUUCAGAUUGGAGCAGAACUUAAGAGAGUGUGUGGGGUGAUCCUAAAAGUCUCAGAGCAUUUGACUGAAUCAUUUCAAGGUGCUCCUUCAGAGCCUGGGCCACAUGCAUUCCUUUUCUGGGUCGCCUGUGAUAUUAGGGCAAUGAUAAUGAUUGAAAACGUGUCUGUUGAGUAAACAUAGCCUCUCUUCCAACUAGACAAUGUGCUCAUGGCACAUUGACAUGAUAUGUGUCAUACUCAUGGUAAUUGACAAACCUUCAUAUGCUUCUUCCCCUGCCCAGAAAGAUCUUUCUAGUACCUCCUUCAAUCGAGAUUCUGUCUACACGCUGAACCCCUGUGGAAGUGGCACCUUCAGGCAGCCCUGCCUUUGAGAUGAAGUAGGCUGCUCUGUUUGGGAAGUAAGGGGUGCCCCUUCCUCAAGGGUGUUUGGGUUAAGGCUGGACAUCAAUUAGUGAGCACACCCAGCAAAGUCCACCCAGGAAAAAGAAACCAGAAAGUAUUGAAAACAGAGGGAUGUGAGCGCAGGAAUUGGUUUUUGCAGGAGAUGGAAGAGCUGAGAAGCCAUACAGGGGCUUCUGAACUGAAGCUUCUGAACUAGGGAGACGCAUUUGAACUUGAGAACUGUAGGGAACCUUUCCAGCUCAGGGAGGGGCACUUGGCAGGAACACUCUUUACUUUCCACCGCGCCCGGCCAGGGCUGUCUUUCAAAGUGCCAUGUUCUCCUUGUCCAAGGUACAGCCAGGCAACCUGGCCAAAUCCAUAAGACUCACUCUUCCAGGGGGGUAAAUUCUGAAUGGGGUGACAAGUUAAAGCUCACUAUUUCGCCUGCAAUCUCCAGUGACCAUGUCUGUGAGCUCCUACUACCUCCAACCCCAGAACUGCCCACAUCCUUGUCCUUGCAAGACCUGCUUGCUCAGCUUUUUCUUGAGUCUUUAAGAAUGAGUUUCUGUUGCUUGCAGCCAUCAAACUCCAAGUGAUGCAGGGUCUGAUAGUGGGCAAGGUGUGUAGCCUCUUUGAGCCCUGGAUUCUGCAUUUAUAUACUGGAGAUACCAGGACAUACCUCAUGAGGCGAGGGGCAAGGUGCUUAGUCCAUCAUGUGUGUUUCACAAAUAUUUCACCCUUUCUUCCUUGCCCUGCUGAACAAGUGACCUUCAAAAGGUAAUGGACUGUACCCACAUUCCACAGGUGGCCAGUGGCAAACAUCGAUGGUCAAGUCUCCUGAGACCUCGUGUUGUUCUUCAAGACCUCUCUGCUUUUCAAGCAUUUCCUUGAGUCACACAGAUGGGUGAGCAGUGUUUUAUCCAUUUCAAUGGAGGAAAAGUGAAAUUUCUUUAAAAAUAAAAACAAAACUUGCCAAAAACUCAUCAUAAGGAACAAAAGCAACAGAUUCUCCAGCUGUGGCCCUUUACCAAAAGCUCUGGCCCAAGCUUCUACACAGCAAAGCUGCUACACUCCGUGGACUCCUCUCUCCAUCAGACUGCCACUGAUUUUGUUUUAGAAGCAUACGUAGGAAGAGCCUUGGCUUUGAGGGACCUGCUGCCUCCCCUGUGACUCUGUAUUGGUAAGCACAGAAGAUCCUCAGAUCCUCCGAGAAGUUCUCAGCAGACAUCCUCAGCUCCAGGCCUCCCUUCUUCUCCACCCUGCUCAGCAUGAACCUAGAGCUGGAGGCAGCUAGCCAUGUCUGGCUGCCUCCCUGGGUCCUCAUAUGAUACUGAGCCAGGUCUCCAGGGAACACUGUUCACAUGGACAGAGUCUGAACUCAGUAGUGAUGCUCCUGAGUGGGUUCCACAGGAAACACACCGGCUAUUCCAAAGGCCUGCUGGCCACAAAGCCUUCUAACAAUAAUAAGUACUAGCAGUAUCACUGCUGUUUAUUGCUUCCUGUCAGGUGGGAACUAAGUCCAUUAGCCCAAGUUCAGUAGCCCUGUUUUACAAAUGCAGAAACAGGCUUAGAACAAUUAAGAAACUUGAUCAAGACCACACAAUUAUUAAGGGAUAGAGUCAAGAAUUUCACUCAGGUCUCCCUGACUCCAAAGCCUGUGCUCUUAACCACUAUAGAUGUCUCUAAUGCUUCGGAGGGGAGGCCACCAUGACCCCCACUUACAGUCACCAGCUGGGCCCCGGCCGCCCAGAGAUCAUGCAGAGUGAACAGAACUGAUUUCCAGCACUGCUGUUCCAUGGCUGUGUGACUUUCGACCGUCUCAUUUCCCCUCUGUUUCUCAGUUCCCUCUUAUGAAAGAUGGAGGACACUAUACCUGCCAUGCCUCAGUGGGACAAGAUCAUCUAUAAUGUUCUGCAUGGAAGCACCAUGAAAGGCAUUACCAGCUUGAAGAAAACCAGUGUCUGGAAUGAGGCGACACCAGUAUGUAGGGAGAGCAAUCGGGAAGCGAUAAGAAGGAGAUUCACUAGGGGUCUGCUGGGCCGCCUGCUGCAGAGAACGCCUCUAGAAUCCUGCACUCCCGUCUUCCUUCCUGCAGCUCAAAGCUGGCCCACCCUGGAGAUGGUACCAGCUGGGGCUCUCCUUCCGGGCCUCAGUGAGGGAGGGGAAGGAGCCAAGAAUGGGUCAGUAACCACAGGAUUCUUUGAGUUCACAGAGAGUCUGCCUGCUGUGGGCCUCCAAAGAGUUCUGCCAGUUCUUCCCAAGUCAGCUUGGGCUUAAAGUCCUUCCUGCACCAACUGGGAAGGAGCUGGAGAAGCUCCACCUGGGAUGGGAAGCUCGACCUGGGAUGGGAAGCUCGACCCGGGAUGGGAAGCUCGACCCAGGAUGGGAAGCCUACUUUGUGUUGAACUUCCUAUUUUGUCACUCUCUGCAGGCCCAAUGACCAGAGAAUUUUCUCUGCCCUUUCUGGCAAGAUUAGUGGCUUCCCCUCACCCACUCUACCCCCACCUCCUCAUUACAGAACAAAGGAACCUGGCUUCUUCCCGCCAGUCCAGAGAGGGUUCCUAAUUGGCUUUCCAUUAAAGAGAAAAUAGACUACU
Molecule: long non-coding RNA, 3206 nt
Filed under: Homo sapiens (human)
Lineage: Eukaryota; Metazoa; Chordata; Mammalia; Primates; Hominidae
Description: non-protein coding lnc-VTI1A-2:1
Source: RNAcentral